RNAcentral lists this ribosomal RNA (322 nucleotides) under uncultured bacterium. RNAcentral describes it as "bacterial SSU rRNA". It matches the Rfam family "Bacterial small subunit ribosomal RNA", at positions 28 to 361 of the family's 1533-position model. The record is from RNAcentral.
GAUGAACGCUGGCGGCGUGCUUAACACAUGCAAGUCGAACGGUCGUAGCAAUACGAUAGUGGCGCACGGGUGAGGAACACGUAGCUAACCUGCCCCAAGUACGGAUAACUUCCCGAAAGGGAUGCUAAUACCGUAUAAGCUCACGCCGAGUAGGUAGGUGUGAGAAAAGGUUUACUGCUUGGGGAGGGGGCUGCGGCCCAUCAGGUAGUUGGUGAGGUAACGGCUCACCAAGCCGACGACGGGUAGGGGGUCUGAGAGGAUGGCCCCCCACACUGGGACGUGAGACACGGCCCAGACUCCUACGGGAGGUAGCAGUGAGGGA